GAUGAACGCUGGCGGCGUGCCUAAUACAUGCAAGUCGAGCGAACAGAUGAGGAGCUUGCUCCUCUGACGUUAGCGGCGGACGGGUGAGUAACACGUGGAUAACCUACCUAUAAGACUGGGAUAACUUCGGGAAACCGGAGCUAAUACCGGAUAAUAUAUUGAACCGCAUGGUUCAAUAGUGAAAGACGGUUUUGCUGUCACUUAUAGAUGGAUCCGCGCCGCAUUAGCUAGUUGGUAAGGUAACGGCUUACCAAGGCAACGAUGCGUAGCCGACCUGAGAGGGUGAUCGGCCACACUGGAACUGAGACACGGUCCAGACUCCUACGGGAGGCAGCAAUAGGGAAUCUUCCGCAAUGGGCGAAAGCCUGACGGAGCAACGCCGCGUGAGUGAUGAAGGUCUUCGGAUCGUAAAACUCUGUUAUUUGGGAAGAACAAAUGUGUAAGUAACUAUGCACGUCUUGACGGUACCUAAUCAGAAAGCCACGGCUAACUACGUG
Molecule: ribosomal RNA, 497 nt
Filed under: uncultured bacterium
Lineage: Bacteria
Description: partial 16S ribosomal RNA
Rfam family: Bacterial small subunit ribosomal RNA
Source: RNAcentral